GCGCUGGGGUUUUUUUUUUGUCCGACUGCACCCAAUGAUGUCAUCUAGGCUACGUCAACCGCAAACGUCACCAAACACACCAGAGCUGGCCUGCUUUCACUGCGCACUCGUCUUAAUGAAAAAGCUUCCUCAUCCAAUGCUGUGUUCACUCUCCAUCACCAGUUCCACCUGAUCUUCUCCAUUCUCCAAGACGUCAUGAGACUGGCACUGAUUUCUCAUAAACAUGUAAUAUACUGUGGGUGUAUAGAUUGAUGUUAUUGUGAGAAGUUAUUGCUUUCGCAUGAUAUGAGCAUCCACAGGCAUGUUUUGCUUAUGUGUGUGUGUGUGUGUGUGCGUGUGUGUGUGUGUGUGUGUUACACUGCAGUGCUGUUGUACCCUGCAGAAUCCAGCCCCAUAUACCGUGCUGCAUUUACCACAGCAUAGCAAUGACGUAAUCACCCUCCUCAUCCUCAGCUACUGAUGAAGGUGGCAGCAAGGAUGAGCUUGACUGACAGAUAAGCCCCGCCCAAUCAGUCCAAUCCGUCUUUCCUUCAUUUCACUACCCUCGAGUGAAAGGAGGUAAAAAAAAUAUGAAUGAAUCAGCAGCCAUUCUUAAUCUCACCUCUCUCUCUCUAUCUCUCAUUCACUCUUAUUUUUUCACUCUCCUUUUUCACCCCCUCCUUUCCAUUCUCUCUCUCUCUCUCUCUCGCUCUCCUUCUCCAUUAGCUCAUUGUAUAUGAGACAAAGAGAGAGAGAGAUAGAGAGCGCGAGAUAGAUGUGGGGACUGUUGCUGUGCAGAUUAUGGGCUGUAAUCCUCAGGCAGGGUGAGUGUGAAUGACAGAGAUCUGCUUCCAUUUCUGAAAAGUAGGCCGGAUGUUUCGGCUUUGCAUAUAUCAUGGAAACAGCGGACACCAAUACCUUCAGCAUCCCUCCUUCCCUCCAUCCCUCUUUCCUUGCAUCCCUUUGUCAGGGAGAGAAGUUACCAAGUGAAGGCUGUCGAGCGGUUUCAUUCAGCCUCUCUUUCUCAGAAUCCAUUGAGAAAAAGUGUCAGCCAGAAGGGGAGGGUUGUGCUGCAGUGUGUGUGUGCAUGCAUGUGUGUGUGUGUAGGAAAAUGUAUGAGUGAAGGACAGAGCAAAAGAUUACGAGUGUGCAGUCACACCCUAUGAACAUUAUGAGGUCACUCUGCAUCAAAGCACAUUUUAAUGUCACAUUCUAGGACAUUUAAGAUGUUUAAAGCUGAGCUGCUAAAAUAAUAAUAAUAAUAAUAAUAAUAAUAAUAAUAAUAAUAAUAAUAAUAAUAAUUCAUUUUAUUCAGUCUAUAACACUUGUAAUAUUUAUAUAAACACAUACAGUGAGGCCCAAAGGUCUGAUACCACCACAAGUCUGUUAUUUUGCAUUCUUUUCCAAUUUAAUACAAAACGGAUUCCAGAUUAUCCGUGUCAGAGAAAAUCCAUCAGAGUGCAAUCUGAGCUCUGAGCACGUGCUUCAGUAGAAGGGAUAAGUCUCAACGAAAACCUCACCAAACAGUUAGUCAGUGAUCUAGAAAUAGUGCAAAAUCAUUCAUAUUAAAUAUGAACAGUUGCUUUCGUUGUUUGGAUUUAUUUAUUUAUAUUUUAGGAACAAUAUCAAGUUUUUAUUGAAAAAAAAAAAAGCAAUCCAUAGAUUUUCAGAUUGUUGUCAGAGUCUUGGAGAGAAAUAAGCAUGGCAGUGCAGUUUUGGAGGUGCAUAUGUGUCGACACAGUUGCUCAUCUCGCCCUCUUGACCUGCCUUAUCCAUCCUGAUGCCCUGUUUCUGCUCGGUGCUUCUGCACUUGUGUCUCUCUUUCUCUUUCUGCUGUGGUGACUGUUCCCGAAACACCUUUCACCCUUGCUUCAGUGUUCUAUCUCACAAGCAUACUGUAGAUUUGUACCAAAGAGCUGCUUCUGUCAUCUUAAAGCUUGUCCUGUGAUCAUCUUUGACAAUCUGCUCGUACAUCUUUUCAGCACACUCAGUAUUGUUUCUCUUUACUCUUCUACACCUGCAUACCAUAGUGAUCUAUAAUCCCACUAUCCAGUGUCACUUAGAUUUGACAGAUUUUCCUUGUUGUCAUGGUCUGCUCUUGUUUAUUUAUUAAAUCUAAAUUUCCAUUAAGAUUUCUGUCAAGCUAACUUUGUGACUGUGUAUUAUUAAAAGCAGUUUACAAAUAAAACUGAAUUGAAUUAAUAAACUAAUGAUGGUCUUAGGCAGGCCUCGCACCUCCAGGGUUGGGGGUUCGAAUCCCACCUCUGCCCUGUGUGUGCGCGGAGUUUGCAUGUUGGUAAAUGGUCUGCACAUAUAUAGCACUUUUUUAACCUUUGGGGUUCAUUAACCAACGGUUUACACUGCUUCUCAUUCAUCCAUUCACACACACACACCAUCGCAGAGCUGCCAUGCAAGGCACUAACUUUGCCAUCGGGAGCAACUUGGGCUUCAGUAUCUUGCGCAAGGACACUUUGGCAUGUGGAGUCACGUGGGCCGGGAAUCGAAUUGCCAACAAUAUGAUUAGUGGACAACCCACUCUACCCCCUGAGCCACAGCUCAGUUCUCCCAGUGCUGUGGGCAUUUCCUCCGACUACUCCCGUUUCCUCCCCCAGAGCAAAGAUAUACGUUGUAGGCUGAUUGGCAUCUCAAAACUGUCCAUAGUGUGUGAAUGUAUGCAGGAUUGUGCCCUGCAAUGAAUUGGCACCCCAUCACCCAGGGUGUUUCCCAACUUGUGCCCCGAGUUCCCUGGGAUAGGCUCCAGGCUCUCCUGUGUAGGAUAAGUGGUAUGAAAAAUGGAUGGAUGGAUGAUGGUCCUCAGUCUUGAUGAUGGAAAAGCAUUGGUUUCAAAUGGACCAGAAUUGAUACAAUAAUAUAAUUUGCCAUUGCCAUAGUUUUUACUUCUUGUACCUUCUACCAAAGAAUAUAUACGAUCUGUCUUUAAACAUGUAUAAAGACUUUACAAAGAAAAAUAAAGCCAGAAAGGAAGUAGCAGAGAUUGCUGGUGCGUCUGGUGAGUUUACGUAGGUAGUACAAUUUGCUUGCUUUGCGAAUCUAAUUUGAGAACGAAGCUCGUACGACGCAGAGCAUGUAAUAAGUAAAAAUCCAACAAACGAUUUCCACACUAAUUAGUGUGUUAUUUAAUGUUAAUUUGUUUUUAUUUGUGUUUAGAUAGAUGUACAAGGCCUCACCCACAAGUGACAUCAGGAUAGGUUGCUACACAGCCAAAAGCAACACAAGUGUAGGUAUUUGGGCUCAAACUUGAUUGAGAGCAGAACAGUGAGAGCAGUGUGAUGCUGCCAUCUGCUGGUCAAGGGAAACUGUCAUUUUCUGAAGUCUCACAGCUCGAAAAUAAAAAUGGUGUACGAAGUCUCAGAUUCCAGUAGGUGGCGGUAAUGUACCUUUAGUGGUUUGCCAACCGCCAUUAAAACAAAAAGAAGAAGAAGAAGAAGAAGUCACUGAAACUCAUUAUGGAUCAGUUGGUCUGCACGCUGCACGGGGGAGACUUACUCAUUACGUGCACUGUGCACGCUACCGUCUAGUGUGUGGAUUUUAGAAAGGUACCAUCAGACGGAGGCGAAAACGUCACGUGACUGAGGAAGAAAGUCCUCUAAGGCUUAAUACAGACAGCUGGGACCAAUCAUGACGCACCCUCGAACAUCGACCAAUACCCGAGCUGGAAGUGAACAAAACCAAAACAAAAGACGUGUGUCCAUAGGAAACAGUCUUAGCGUCCAUGCGCUCUUCGAGCACGUGCACGUUGUCUCCACAGUGACCUCUUCCGGCGAGAUCGUGACACCUACGAUUCUGCUUAAAGUACCAUGACAGAAACAUGUGUGAUUAAGUGAACAAAUUAAUAUGACACAUAAAAAUUAAACAUUUUAAAGUAGAAUUUUUUGGUGUGGUUAUACAAUGCAGGUAUGUAGUCAUGUCAACGGAAAUUGAGUUAUCAGUGUCCCAAUGUGUAGUGAGCUGGGGUCCUUUCCAGUACCCCAACUUGUGUACACUAUAUACGGAUACACAACAUACGGAGAUAUGGAAUGCAUGUAACAGCGUUACGUAAUCAGGAUACAAAAAAAAACUGUUAACUGUAAUCUGUUACAGUUACGUCAAAAAACUAAAUUACUCGGAUUAUUGGUACAUUUAGUAAAAAAUGGGAAUGCUAACAGGAUUCAUUUUCUUUUCAUUUAAAGCCAAAGAAAUUAAUCUUUUGACAUAACAGAAUAUAGACAGCUGCUUGAUUAUAGUUCUGGUUAUCUCUUGCCAGUCGUGGCUCACAUGAGCAACCUCCUGGUGCAUGCGCAAAUAAAUUUGAAAUCCUGAAAAGGAUAAGCGGUAUGGAAGAUGGAUGGAUGGAUGGAUGUUCUCUGAAAUGCUUUUGUUAGGCUGACCUUACGUCCUCUUUUUCGGACCUUACAAAAACCUCCAAAGCAAUUUGAGAAAAUGUCCAGGAUUUGGCUUUAGUUUCAUUAUGAUGUGCUUAUGGUCUACUGCUGCAUCAUCCAUUCAUCCAGCUUCUACCGCUUACUCCUUCUUCAGGGUCACGGGGGAACCUGGAGCCUAUCCCAGGGAGAAUCGGACACAAAGCAGGGUACACCCUGGACAGGGUGCCAAUCCAACACUCACAUACACAUUCAUACACUAUGGACACUUUUGGACAUGCCAUUCAGCAUGUCUUUGGACUGGGGGAGGAAACCGGAGGAAACCCCCACAGCACGGGCAGAACAUGCAAACUCCACACACACAGGGCCACGGUGGGAAUCGAACCCCCAACCCUGGAGGUGUGAGGCAAACGUGCUAACCACUAAGCUAACUUUUGUGAUGUAAUGUUACUGCAUCAGG
Long non-coding RNA from Ictalurus punctatus (channel catfish), 4818 nucleotides. Lineage: Eukaryota; Metazoa; Chordata; Actinopteri; Siluriformes; Ictaluridae. The record is from Ensembl.